AGGCUUGGGGCCCUUCAGAUUUGCUUAGAAAUGUAACUGGGAGAGACUGAUGAGUUUUGGAAAAGGGAUCCGUUUUAGUUUGCUCUUCGCAAAGGAUGCAGAAAACUGAACUUGACAGAAGGAUGAGAAGCAGGAGAAUGAGUAAUCAUCCCUACAACCACAACAUCUAAGAAAAAGCGAAGCAAGCCACUGAAACUGACAAUACCUUUUUAUAGCCUCAAUCCAGAAUCAAUACAAAAGGGCUGCAUCUAAUAACUUCAAGAGGCUGCAUUGUACUUGAUGGUAAUCUACGUUGAAUCCCUAAAGCCUCUGCUUCCCUGCUCUGUGACCUUGGGUACACGGCAGCUGAGCACCUGGUGCGUGUUCAAGAUUUCUACUCAAGACUCCCUGGAUGUAUUUUGGCUCUUGGCACUACUGACCACAUUGAAGGCCGACCCCAGGACCUCAGAUGAAGAUGUUUUGCCUUUGGGAGUUCCUGAUUGGAGAACCCCUCCUUCCCUAGCUGCCUUUCUCUUGCCUUGAGGUAUGGAUCUCCAACACUGUGCUAGCCUCGACUUGUCUUGGAUGGUUAUUUAAUUUAAGGAAACCAAUUAUCAGUGAUGCGUGAGCAACGUCUUUAAACUUGCAGGUAUGAUCAGAUGACCCUGCAAGCCAUGUGUUCCAGUGGUAAACCUCCAAGAUGGAAACAGCCUGGAGCCCUGAAUCAUUGCUUGGAAGGGAGUCACUAGACCCAUGGUAGACUCUG
Lagenorhynchus albirostris (white-beaked dolphin) is the source of this 745-nucleotide long non-coding RNA. RefSeq lists it as uncharacterized. The record is from RefSeq and is a predicted model, not a curated record. The transcript has 5 exons. NCBI's taxonomy places the organism in Eukaryota, Metazoa, Chordata, Mammalia, Artiodactyla, Delphinidae.